UACAGAGGUCUCAAGCGUUGUUCGGAUUCAUUGGGCGUAAAGGGUGCGUAGGCGGCGCGGUAAGUCGGGUGUGAAAUCUCGGAGCUUAACUCCGAAACUGCAUUCGAUACUGCCGUGCUUGAGGACUGGAGAGGAGACUGGAAUUUACGGUGUAGCUGUGAAAUGCGUAGAUAUCGUAAGGAAGACCAGUGGCGAAGGCGGGUCUCUGGGCAGUACCUGACGCUGAGGCACGAAGGUCAGGGGAGCAAACGGG
This 253-nucleotide ribosomal RNA is filed under the name uncultured bacterium. RNAcentral's name for it is "partial 16S ribosomal RNA". It matches the Rfam family "Bacterial small subunit ribosomal RNA", at positions 524 to 776 of the family's 1533-position model. The record is from RNAcentral.